Molecule: non-coding RNA, 45 nt
Filed under: Schistosoma haematobium
Lineage: Eukaryota; Metazoa; Platyhelminthes; Trematoda; Strigeidida; Schistosomatidae
Source: RNAcentral
AUCCGGCUGAUGAGUUCCGAAUAGGACGAAACAUGUGUCCUGGAU